GGCCACGUAGCCAAGUGGUAAGGCAGGAGUCUGCAAAACUCUUAUUCGGGGGUUCGAUUCCCCCCGUGGCCUCCA
This 75-nucleotide transfer RNA is filed under the name Patescibacteria group bacterium. RNAcentral's name for it is "tRNA-Cys". It matches the Rfam family "tRNA". From Rfam's summary of the family: Transfer RNA (tRNA) molecules are approximately 80 nucleotides in length. Their secondary structure includes four short double-helical elements and three loops (D, anti-codon, and T loops). Further hydrogen bonds mediate the characteristic L-shaped molecular structure. tRNAs have two regions of fundamental functional importance: the anti-codon, which is responsible for specific mRNA codon recognition, and the 3' end, to which the tRNAs corresponding amino acid is attached (by aminoacyl-tRNA synthetases). tRNAs cope with the degeneracy of the genetic code in two manners: having more than one tRNA (with a specific anti-codon) for a particular amino acid; and 'wobble' base-pairing, i.e. permitting non-standard base-pairing at the 3rd anti-codon position. RNAcentral also lists the same sequence under 1 other name. The record is from RNAcentral.